RNAcentral lists this ribosomal RNA (423 nucleotides) under uncultured bacterium. RNAcentral's name for it is "bacterial SSU rRNA". It matches the Rfam family "Bacterial small subunit ribosomal RNA", at positions 58 to 507 of the family's 1533-position model. The record is from RNAcentral.
CAAGUCGAACGCUCGGGGCUUCGGCCCCNGGGAGUGGCGCACGGGUGAGUAACGCGUGGGAACCUGCCCUGGAGUGGGGGAUAACCGAGGGAAACCUCGGCUAAUACCGCAUUCGUCCUGAGGGAGAAAGGCCGGUCCGAAAGACCGGUUGCUCUAGGAGGGGCCCGCGUCGGAUUAGCUAGUUGGCGGGGUAACGGCCCACCAAGGCGAUGAUCCGUAGCUGGUCUGAGAGGAUGAUCAGCCACACUGGGACUGAGACACGGCCCAGACUCCUACGGGAGGCAGCAGUGGGGAAUAUUGGACAAUGGGCGAAAGCCUGAUCCAGCAAUGCCGCGUGGGUGAUGAAGGCCUUAGGGUUGUAAAGCCCUUUCGGCGGGGACGAUGAUGACGGUACCCGCAGAAGAAGCCCCGGCUAACUUCGUG